AACGCGAAGAACCUUACCUGGUCUUGACAUAUCUAGAAUCCUGCAGAGAUGCGGGAGUGCCUUCGGGAAUUAGAAUACAGGUGCUGCAUGGCUGUCGUCAGCUCGUGUCGUGAGAUGUUGGGUUAAGUCCCGCAACGAGCGCAACCCUUGUCCUUAGUUACCAGCGGGUUAAGCCGGGAACUCUAAGGAUACUGCCAGUGACAAACUGGAGGAAGGCGGGGACGACGUCAAGUCAUCAUGGCCCUUACGACCAGGGCUACACACGUGCUACAAUGGUAGGUACAGAGGGCAGCUACACAGCGAUGUGAUGCGAAUCUCAAAAAGCCUAUCGUAGUCCAGAUUGGAGUCUGCAACUCGACUCCAUGAAGUAGGAAUCGCUAGUAAUCGCUGAUCAGA
RNAcentral lists this ribosomal RNA (396 nucleotides) under uncultured bacterium. RNAcentral's name for it is "bacterial SSU rRNA". It matches the Rfam family "Bacterial small subunit ribosomal RNA", at positions 958 to 1353 of the family's 1533-position model. The record is from RNAcentral.